This 902-nucleotide ribosomal RNA is filed under the name uncultured archaeon. RNAcentral describes it as "bacterial SSU rRNA". It matches the Rfam family "Archaeal small subunit ribosomal RNA", at positions 1 to 922 of the family's 1478-position model. The record is from RNAcentral.
UUCCGGUUGAUCCUGCCGGAGGCGACCGCUUUUGGAGUUCGAUUAAGCCAUGCGAGUCGAGAGCCUUAGGGGCUCGGCAUACUGCUCAGUAACACGUGGAUAACCUGCCCUAUUGUCUGGAAUAACCUCGGGAAACUGAGAACAAGGCCGGAUAACCCACAAUGCCUGGAACGGUUUGUGGGUGAAGAUAGGAUGGGUCUGCGGCGUAUCAGGUCGUAGGGGGUGUAAUGGACCUCCUAGCCAUCGACGCGUACGGGUGUUGGGAGACAUAGCCCGGAGAUGGAUUCUGAGACACGAAUCCAGACCCUACGGGGUGCAGCAGGCGCGAAAACUUCACACUGCAGGAAACUGUGAUGAGGGAACUCCAAGUGCAUGCACUAUGUGUAUGCUUUUCUUAACUAUUAAUCGGUUUUGGAAUAAGGGCUGGGAAAGACCGGUGCCAGCCGCCGCGGUAAUACCGGCAGCUCAAGUGGUCGUCGCUUUUAUUGGGCCUAAAACGUCCGUAGCCUGUUUGGUAAAUCUGUGGGUAAAUCAACCAGCUUAACUGGUUGAAUUCUGCAGAGACUGCCAGACUAGGGACCGGGAGAGGUGUGGGGUACUCUAGGGGUAGGGGUAAAAUCCUGUCAUCCUUAGAGGACCACCAGUUGCGGAGGCGCCACACUGGAACGGAUCCGACGGUCAGGGACGAAGCCUAGGGGCACGAACCGGAUUAGAUACCCGGGUAGUCCUAGGUGUAAACGCUGUGAACUUGGUGUCGGGGAUCCGUAAUGGGUUCUCGGUGCCGGAGUGAAGAUGUUAAGUUCACUGCCUGGGGAGUACGGUCGCAAGGCUGAAACUUAAAGGAAUUGGCGGGGGAGCACUGCAACGGGAGGAGCGUGCGGUUUAAUUGGAUCAACGCCGGA